UUAUACUCUAGUGUAGUGGCACAUUAGAUUUUGAUUCUUGAGGUAAUGGGGCUAUCCCAUUGAGUAUAAU
RNAcentral lists this transfer RNA (70 nucleotides) under Gonodactylus sp. SIO BIC C12730. Its description in RNAcentral is "tRNA-Gln". It matches the Rfam family "tRNA". From Rfam's summary of the family: Transfer RNA (tRNA) molecules are approximately 80 nucleotides in length. Their secondary structure includes four short double-helical elements and three loops (D, anti-codon, and T loops). Further hydrogen bonds mediate the characteristic L-shaped molecular structure. tRNAs have two regions of fundamental functional importance: the anti-codon, which is responsible for specific mRNA codon recognition, and the 3' end, to which the tRNAs corresponding amino acid is attached (by aminoacyl-tRNA synthetases). tRNAs cope with the degeneracy of the genetic code in two manners: having more than one tRNA (with a specific anti-codon) for a particular amino acid; and 'wobble' base-pairing, i.e. permitting non-standard base-pairing at the 3rd anti-codon position. The record is from RNAcentral. Lineage: Eukaryota; Metazoa; Arthropoda; Malacostraca; Stomatopoda; Gonodactylidae.